Molecule: ribosomal RNA, 451 nt
Filed under: uncultured bacterium
Lineage: Bacteria
Description: partial 16S ribosomal RNA
Rfam family: Bacterial small subunit ribosomal RNA
Source: RNAcentral
GUGGGGAAUAUUGGACAAUGGGGGGAACCCUGAUCCAGCCAUGCCGCGUGUGUGAAGAAGGCCUUUUGGUUGUAAAGCACUUUAAGCGAGGAGGAGGCUACCGAGAUUAAUACUCUUGGAUAGUGGACGUUACUCGCAGAAUAAGCACCGGCUAACUCUGUGCCAGCAGCCGCGGUAAUACAGAGGGUGCGAGCGUUAAUCGGAUUUACUGGGCGUAAAGCGUGCGUAGGCGGCUUUUUAAGUCGGAUGUGAAAUCCCUGAGCUUAACUUAGGAAUUGCAUUCGAUACUGGGAAGCUAGAGUAUGGGAGAGGAUGGUAGAAUUCCAGGUGUAGCGGUGAAAUGCGUAGAGAUCUGGAGGAAUACCGAUGGCGAAGGCAGCCAUCUGGCCUAAUACUGACGCUGAGGUACGAAAGCAUGGGGAGCAAACAGGAUUAGAAACCCGAGUAGUCC